UCCAUAAAAGUGAAGAAAUUUUGUUUUUGUNUUUAGAAAUCUNUUUGGGAGGGGGAGAGAUGUUUCUUUUUUUAGAGGUAAAAUUUAGAAAAGANUAAUUUUUUCUNUAUNUUAAAAUUUUGAAACCUUUAAAGNUAAAACUAGGAUUAGAUACCCUAUUAUUAUUAAGUGUAAAAAAAANUAGGUAGUAGUAGAGGACUUGAAACUUAAAGAAUUUGGCGGUAUUUUAAUCUUAUCAGAGGAACUUGCGUUUUAACUCGAAAUUACACGUCUUAUCUUACUUAAAUAAAAGUUUGUAUAUCGUCGUAAAAAUAAAACUUUAAAGUGGAUAUUAAAUUUUAUUUAANUAAGAAAUUACAGAUCAAGGUUCAGCUNAUAUUUAAGNUGAACGUGAGUUACAAUAUUNNUAUAAAUAAAUGGAUAUUUUUUUNNGGAAAGNNAAUUUUGAAGGUGGAUUUGAAAGU
This 464-nucleotide ribosomal RNA is filed under the name Buthus sp. D DP-2013. RNAcentral describes it as "partial 12S ribosomal RNA". Lineage: Eukaryota; Metazoa; Arthropoda; Arachnida; Scorpiones; Buthidae. The record is from RNAcentral.